CCUACGGGCGACAGCAGUGGGGAAUAUUGCACAAUGGGGGAAACCCUGAUGCAGCAACGCCGCGUGAGUGAAGAAGGUUUUCGGAUUGUAAAGCUCUGUUAGCAGGGAAGAGGAAGGACGGUACCUGCAGAGGAAGCCACGGCUAACUACGUGCCAGCAGCCGCGGUAAUACGUAGGUGGCAAGCGUUGUUCGGAAUAACUGGGCGUAAAGGAUGCGUAGGCGGUUAAACAAGUUAUAUGUUAAAUAUAUAGGCUUAACCUGUAGAAAGCAUAUAAAACUGUUUAACUAGAGUGCAGGAGAGGUAAGUGGAAUUCCUAGUGUAGCGGUGAAAUGCGUAGAUAUCACGCAGAACUCCGAUUGCGAAGGCAGCAUACCGGCGCCCAACUGACGCUGAAGCACGAAAGCGUGGGUAUCGAACAGGAUUAGAUACCCGGGUAGUC
This 441-nucleotide ribosomal RNA is filed under the name uncultured bacterium. RNAcentral describes it as "partial 16S ribosomal RNA". It matches the Rfam family "Bacterial small subunit ribosomal RNA", at positions 338 to 795 of the family's 1533-position model. The record is from RNAcentral.